UAUUGACUCAUAUUUGUUUGUAUAAUGCUGAAUGAAUGAGUUUCUGCAUUUUAAGUUCGAUUUGCAUGGAAUGGACUCUCCUGAGGUUAUAAAAUGAUGUUGGCACAUGUAAUAUUUGAUGAAUAAAAUGUACUGUGAACUUUGCAUUGCAAAAUCACAAGGAUAAAUCAUUUUUCCUCUUAUGUUUAUCUGUAGAUGAGAAAGAGCAGGGAGAAUAUGGAUGGAAAUUUGACUAGAGUACACAAACAAAGCACUCAAGACAAGUCUGUAGUCCAUGUGUCCUCUAAGCAGAAACGUAGUCCUUCAAUGGAGGUUGGCACAAAAGUGAUUCUGAAGUCCUCAGUAUAUCCAAACAAAAGGCAUGUGGCACAUGCUAGCAUUUUGGGUUGCAAUU
Molecule: non-coding RNA, 394 nt
Organism: Aegilops tauschii subsp. strangulata
Lineage: Eukaryota; Viridiplantae; Streptophyta; Magnoliopsida; Poales; Poaceae
Source: RefSeq, a predicted model, not a curated record